GAUGAACGCUGGCGGCGUGCCUAAUACAUGCAAGUCGAGCGAACAGACGAGGAGCUUGCUCCUUCGACGUUAGCGGCGGACGGGUGAGUAACACGUAGGUAACCUACCUAUAAGACUGGGAUCACUUCGGGAAACCGGAGCUAAUACCGGAUAAUAUUUCGAACCGCAUGGUUCGAUAGUGAAAGAUGGCUUUGCUAUCUCUUAUCGAUGGACCUGCGCCGUAUUAGCUAGUUGGUAAGGUAACGGCUUACCAAGGCAACGAUACGUAGCCGACCUGAGAGGGUGAUCGGCCACACUGGAACUGAGACACGGUCCAGACUCCUACGGGAGGCAGCAGUAGGGAAUCUUCCGCAAUGGGCGAAAGCCUGACGGAGCAACGCCGAGUGAGUGAUGAAGGUCUUCGGAUCGUAAAACUCUGUUAUUAGGGAAGAACAAACGUGUAAGUAACUGUGCACGUCUUGACGGUACCUAAUCAGAAAGCCACGGCUAACUACGUG
Molecule: ribosomal RNA, 497 nt
Filed under: uncultured bacterium
Lineage: Bacteria
Description: partial 16S ribosomal RNA
Rfam family: Bacterial small subunit ribosomal RNA
Source: RNAcentral